This is a long non-coding RNA of Thalassophryne amazonica, 326 nucleotides long. RefSeq lists it as uncharacterized. The record is from RefSeq and is a predicted model, not a curated record. The transcript has 2 exons. NCBI's taxonomy places the organism in Eukaryota, Metazoa, Chordata, Actinopteri, Batrachoidiformes, Batrachoididae.
GUUCUGCAGUUCCCAAAUAACAUUAGUUUUUUUCAGUUCAUUUCUUCAGUGAUUUCCUCUACCAUUUCUUUUAAAUUCUCCCCAGAACAGAAAAUAUUCGUGUCAUCAGUAAACAACACCAGUUUGAGUAUCUGACACCUUACAAAUAUCAUUAAUAUACAAUUUAAAUAGUUUGAACCCCAACACUGACCCCUGUGGUACCCCACAAACAAUGUCCAAACAUUCAGAACUGACAUCACCCAUCUUAACAAACUGCUGUCUCUGUUGUAAAUAGCUUCUAAUCCAGUCUGAUACAAUACCUCUGAUGCCAUAUCUUUUCAGUUUUU